This is a long non-coding RNA of Hemicordylus capensis (graceful crag lizard), 492 nucleotides long. RefSeq lists it as uncharacterized. NCBI's taxonomy places the organism in Eukaryota, Metazoa, Chordata, Lepidosauria, Squamata, Cordylidae. The record is from RefSeq and is a predicted model, not a curated record. The transcript has 3 exons.
AGGAGGAGGAAGCAGUAGUUAGUGGAGGAAAGUCUGCCAAAGCAGCAGUGCCAGGCAGAACAAUGGUUCUGAGCAGGGCUGAAAAAAAGGAUGCAGACUCUUAAAGGGGAUUUUCACUCCAAAUACAGGGAAGCAGAAGAUGAGAUAGAGGGAAGGGCAGUGAUACAGACUGGUAACAGGCUGAAUGAUGCCGCUGGACAGAUUACGACUGGUGUUCAUACCAAAGCAGACCAUCUGGAAAUGCAAUCGGAACCCAACAACCUCAGGGGAUUACUGAGCCCAGCAGAGCAUGAAAGGAAGGCAUUGUACCCACCACUAUUUGGCGGUGUCAUGACCUUAGCUCCAUGCAGCAAUUACUUUGACCCUUUAAUAUAACUGUGUCAAGUGCAGUCACAUUCACAGGUGCCUGUUCAAUCUGCCCUCAUCACAGAAGCACAGGCAAUGCAUGCCGGCAGGUACCUUUCACUAUACAGCGUUACAGUAUUUGACAAA